AUUUUCUGUCUCGUUUUAGCGAGCUCUAGACCACCAAGCCUCGAGUGACGGAUGGACCGAACGAGCAGGAGAUUAAAAAACUGGGGGGAGUGACUACACCCAAUAAUGCUUUGCUCCGCCUUGGGGAACUCUCUUUAAAAAACUGCGAGCAAGGUAAGAGGGGGGAGCGGCAGAUUAAGCCAUGGUACUCGAGGACAAAGCAGGAUUGAAUUGCGGCUGUGGAUUUCGUGGCUGCUGCUUUGAGGAAAACCAAUAUCAAACUGGCAAUAAUAGGAGCAUGAUCAAACGUAUGUGCAACUAAGGUGCGUAGCAGCAGCUGGGAUUGCAAAAUCGGCCCGGUUUGAGCACAGGACAAGCUUGGGAUGGAGACCGAGAUGGCUCAACUUGGUAAGCAGGCUGUAGCUACAGCAGCGCG
Selaginella moellendorffii is the source of this 415-nucleotide long non-coding RNA. RefSeq lists it as uncharacterized. The record is from RefSeq and is a predicted model, not a curated record. Lineage: Eukaryota; Viridiplantae; Streptophyta; Lycopodiopsida; Selaginellales; Selaginellaceae. The transcript is spliced from 3 exons.